Brassica napus (rape) is the source of this 620-nucleotide long non-coding RNA. RefSeq lists it as uncharacterized. The record is from RefSeq and is a predicted model, not a curated record. Lineage: Eukaryota; Viridiplantae; Streptophyta; Magnoliopsida; Brassicales; Brassicaceae. The transcript is spliced from 2 exons.
CAAUAACGCUAACAAUGAUAUAUAAUAGUUUUUUUCUAUGCUAAGAAAUACCAUUUUUUAUGAUUCUCAUUUGAAGCUGUGCAAUAUUCUUGACCACAAGAUUGUCGAGGUAAAAUUUUAACCUAUGAUGUUGCUCGGUAGAAAGUGUAAUUAUUGUUUCCUGCAAAAUACCAUCAUUGCACUUGUUUACUAUCUCAUCUCCUUUUUUGUUAGAUUAUCCCAAACUCAGAGUAUAUAAAAGAUGUGAGUAUGACAAACUUACAAGCUGAAGAGGUCCAUGAAGUUGAGAGUUCAACUGAUAUCGUUGUUCCAGUUUGUCACAUUGAAUCAUCUACCGCUGAACUUGGUGAUGCAUUGGGUUGGAAGGCUUUUGGUGAUCUCUUCCUCUUUGUGUUGCACAAAGGUGAUACUCUUCAAGAGAUCAAGAUAUGUAUCCAACAAGAGCUUCACGUUGGAAAUGAAGAAUUUACCAAGGUUUAUAUAUAUAUAUAUAAGUGAAAUGUUUAUAAUUGUGAAGGAUAUGUACUUGUAUUUUAGGCGAUCCUCACACGCAAGAAUGUUGAUUUUAGGUUGUGUUCAGUGCUUUUUUUUAAUUAUAUAUAUAUUAUUAAAACAUAUUA